This 68-nucleotide transfer RNA is filed under the name Lygodactylus bradfieldi. RNAcentral's name for it is "tRNA-Trp". The record is from RNAcentral. Lineage: Eukaryota; Metazoa; Chordata; Lepidosauria; Squamata; Gekkonidae.
AAGAAUUUAGGUUCACACKUAAACCMAGGGCCUUCAAAGCCCUARACAGGGCCUACCCCUAAUUUCUG